UCGAACGGCAGCACAGGAGAGCUUGCUCUCUGGGUGGCGAGUGGCGGACGGGUGAGGAAUACAUCGGAAUCUACCUUUUCGUGGGGGAUAACGUAGGGAAACUUACGCUAAUACCGCAUACGACCUACGGGUGAAAGUGGGGGACCGCAAGGCCUCACGCGAUUAGAUGAGCCGAUGUCCGAUUAGCUAGUUGGCGGGGUAAUGGCCCACCAAGGCGACGAUCGGUAGCUGGUCUGAGAGGAUGAUCAGCCACACUGGAACUGAGACACGGUCCAGACUCCUACGGGAGGCAGCAGUGGGGAAUAUUGGACAAUGGGCGCAAGCCUGAUCCAGCCAUACCGCGUGGGUGAAGAAGGCCUUCGGGUUGUAAAGCCCUUUUGUUGGGAAAGAAAUCCUAUCGGUUAAUAACCGGUGGGGAUGACGGUACCCAAAGAAUAAGCACCGGCUAACUUCG
This 454-nucleotide ribosomal RNA is filed under the name uncultured Pseudomonadota bacterium. RNAcentral describes it as "bacterial SSU rRNA". It matches the Rfam family "Bacterial small subunit ribosomal RNA", at positions 62 to 505 of the family's 1533-position model. Lineage: Bacteria; Pseudomonadati; Pseudomonadota. The record is from RNAcentral.